UUUCUAUGCAAUGAUUCAAUCCCAGGAUGCAUUGUGUUGGCACACUGAACUUCUUUGCACCUGAAAAGCAGGAAGUGAAUGCUCUGCAGGUGUAAGUAUUUCAAAUAUAACAGCAUUAAACCUGACAUGUCUAUCU
Molecule: long non-coding RNA, 136 nt
Organism: Nanorana parkeri
Lineage: Eukaryota; Metazoa; Chordata; Amphibia; Anura; Dicroglossidae
Exons: 3
Source: RefSeq, a predicted model, not a curated record